This 301-nucleotide ribosomal RNA is filed under the name uncultured bacterium. Its description in RNAcentral is "partial 16S ribosomal RNA". It matches the Rfam family "Bacterial small subunit ribosomal RNA", at positions 509 to 809 of the family's 1533-position model. The record is from RNAcentral.
CAGCAGCCACGGGAAUACGUAGGGUGCAAGCGUUAAUCGGAAUUACUGGGCGUAAAGCGUGCGCAGGCGGUUAUAUAAGACAGAUGUGAAAUCCCCGGGCUCAACCUGGGAACUGCAUUUGUGACUGUAUAGCUAGAGUACGGCAGAGGGGGAUGGAAUUCCGCGUGUAGCAGUGAAAUGCGUAGAUAUGCGGAGGAACACCGAUGGCGAAGGCAAUCCCCUGGGCCUGUACUGACGCUGAGGUACGAAAGCAUGGGGAGCAAACAGGAUUAGAUACCCCAGUAGUCCCUGUCUCUUAUCA